UGAAGAAUUUGUCCAACGGCGGGGGAUAGCCGGCCCAACGGCCGGGUAAUACCGCGUACGACCCUCGGGGGGCAUCCCCUGAAGAUGAAAGCCGCAAGGCGCCGAUGGAGAACUUCGCGGCCUAUCAGCUAGUUGGUGAGGUAAUGGCUCACCAAGGCGACGACGGGUAGCCGGCCUGAGAGGGCGAUCGGCCACACUGGGACUGAGACACGGCCCAGACUCCUACGGGAGGCAG
This 235-nucleotide ribosomal RNA is filed under the name uncultured bacterium. Its description in RNAcentral is "partial 16S ribosomal RNA". It matches the Rfam family "Bacterial small subunit ribosomal RNA", at positions 118 to 351 of the family's 1533-position model. The record is from RNAcentral.